UUUUCUGGGUUAAGUAAUAUUAUUAUCCAUUGUCUGACAUCUUCCAUAUCUGCUUGUCGUAGCUCUUUUGAAUUAGAGUAAAUUAUUUGAUGAUCUCUCGAAUAAUAGCUCCAUAUUGGGUUUCCAUUAGUAUAAUUAUUUGCUAGUUCUUGGAUAAUCGUAGCUAGUCCAAUAAGUCAUUUAUUUGCAUAGAAGUCGGGUAUCUCAAUUCUGGGUAUCUCCGGUUGCUGUGUAAUAUCUUCUGGUAUGAUCAUAUCUCUAGUUAGUCC
RNAcentral lists this long non-coding RNA (269 nucleotides) under Capsicum annuum. Its description in RNAcentral is "long non-coding RNA (CANN_LNC012327)". The record is from RNAcentral. Lineage: Eukaryota; Viridiplantae; Streptophyta; Magnoliopsida; Solanales; Solanaceae.